RNAcentral lists this unclassified non-coding RNA (698 nucleotides) under Hevea brasiliensis (rubber tree). The record is from RNAcentral. Lineage: Eukaryota; Viridiplantae; Streptophyta; Magnoliopsida; Malpighiales; Euphorbiaceae.
GGAUGAAAAAAACCAUUAGUUAUUAAACAUAAAAAUAUGAAGUGACAACUCACGUGUCAAAUUCAGUAUAUCCCUGAAUUUGAAACUAGCAGCCAUACACAGUAUGAUAAAGUGAACAAUAAGAAGAUGAAAGUAGAAACUAAAUUGCCCAAAUGGGUGAAAAUAAAAACAGUAAUUGCCCAAGUCCCAAGAGAUGCAACUAAAGAGACAUGGACUCUUGUAAUAUGAUGUUCAAUAGUCCAAAGCAAUGGUGAGAUACAGUCCAAACUCCAAACACAUGAUAUGAAGGUUUAGUUUCUGGCUGGUGGUGGGGAAAGGAAUGGGAUGGAGGGAAUUGUAGUUGGGAUAUUGGGGAUUGAGGGUAUGUUUGGCAAUGAAGGCAAAGUGACCUUUGGCACAACAGGCAUGGUGGGCAAGCUGGGAAGUGGAGGUAGACUGGGGUUGGGCAGGGAAGGUUGAGCGGUUGGCAAGGUUGGCAAUGAAGGCUGUGGGAGAGUUGGAAUAGCAGGGAUUGGUAGCACUGCAGACUUUGGCAAAUUUGGCACCGAAGGCAAAGAUGGCAAUUGUAGAAGAUUGCGAGCUGCUAAGCUAGCAUCCAUGCUUAAAAAUGACAAAGAAGCAAAGAUGAAACAAUUGAAAGAGGCCAUAAUUAAGAAGAUGUUGCUGUAGUACUAAGGGAAUAAUUUGUUAAAUUGUUG